CCCGGGGAGGCGUAGCGACUGCUGCAGACGCGAGCAGCGCGGCUCGCGCGUGAGCAGACGCGGGGUUCCGGGCCUCCCCGCUCCUUCGAACAGGGCUGGGGAACGCCUGGAGAGCCUGGAAGCAGGGAAGUGGUUUUAAAGCGCACUAUCUCCCGCCCGCAGGGAUGGAGGGACGGACGGACACACGGACACACCUCAGCCAGGACCACCUCGGCACCUGGCAGCCCCCGCCGCGGUCUGGGGGGCCCUGGGAGAGCCACUGGGUGACAGAGCCACACGUACCUCAUCUGGAAACAGACCGUGAUAACGUACACGCGCUCCUCAGGCUGCUGUCGAGAUCAGCAAGCACAAGCGGAGCUACGCAGGGCACAGCGAUGAAUAACUAAAGGAAGAAGGCGCACAGAACACCUGACUUUCCCUCAGGACUCUGAGAGAGCUGGACAGUUCUCCUACGGUCCUUCAAGCGCUCCUCUACCUGUGGCUCAAGCAGUAGAGCAAAGGGUUAAAAAUUCAGCUCCCUUGGCGCACGCCUGUAAUCCCAGCAGGCAGGAGGCUGGGGCAGAAGGAUCACUGAGCUCAAGG
Molecule: long non-coding RNA, 582 nt
Organism: Chinchilla lanigera (long-tailed chinchilla)
Lineage: Eukaryota; Metazoa; Chordata; Mammalia; Rodentia; Chinchillidae
Exons: 3
Source: RefSeq, a predicted model, not a curated record